RNAcentral lists this ribosomal RNA (433 nucleotides) under uncultured bacterium. Its description in RNAcentral is "partial 16S ribosomal RNA". It matches the Rfam family "Bacterial small subunit ribosomal RNA", at positions 29 to 507 of the family's 1533-position model. The record is from RNAcentral.
AACGAACGCUGGCGGCAUGCCUAACACAUGCAAGUCGAACGAGACCUUCGGGUCUAGUGGCGCACGGGUGCGUAACGCGUGGGAACCUGCCCUUAGGUUCGGAAUAACUCCCCGAAAGGGGUGCUAAUACCGGAUAAUGUCUUCGGACCAAAGAUUUAUCGCCUUUGGAUGGGCCCGCGUUGGAUUAGCUAGUUGGUAGGGUACAAGCCUGCCAAGGCGACGAUCCAUAGCUGGUCUGAGAGGAUGAUCAGCCACACUGGGACUGAGACACGGCCCAGACUCGUACGGGAAGCAGCAGUGGGGAAUAUUGGACAAGGGGCGAAAGCCUGAUCCAGCAAUGCCGCGUGAGUGAUGAAGGCCUUAGGGUUGUAAAGCUCUUUUACCCGGGAUGAUAAUGACAGUACCGGGAGAAUAAGCUCCGGCUAACUCCGUG